Mytilus trossulus (common blue mussel) is the source of this 1692-nucleotide long non-coding RNA. RefSeq lists it as uncharacterized. The transcript has 5 exons. The record is from RefSeq and is a predicted model, not a curated record. Lineage: Eukaryota; Metazoa; Mollusca; Bivalvia; Mytilida; Mytilidae.
GGAAGUUGGAGAAAUUCGGCGUCCGAUCACAGACAGUGACUCUCCGUUUGACGAAACCUGGAAAGAAGGUCGAAGGAUAGCUCUAGUUGAUCACCUAGUGCAGAAUAAGUUCGUUAAGAUAUAAAACUGUCCCCUGCGGAUACUGUCUGUGAACGGAAAUACGACCGCCAAGGCUUGGACCAGGAGCCGAGGCGGAGGCCGUGGAUCAUUUUGUCCAUACCAUAUCGUUGUAGCUGCAGUGAAUGUAACCUGCUUAUCAUACAUGUGUAACAGUGUUGAAACGAGGAAAGAAAUGGAACUGGUGAAUUGUUAUCAAUUCAAAAGCUGUACAUGGAAUGAUACAUGCAGGAAUUUGUGCCACACAUUUCAACAAUUUCCUUAAUGGAUUGAAUGUACUUUAUGUGAAUUCAUCAGCCAUACUUAAAAAGAAAAAGGAGAAUGAAACUGGAAAGAAAAUAUUUGCAGUUGCAAAAGAAUGCUGUAAAUAAAUUCAAAAGAAGAAACAGUUUUAAACAUGGUUAAUUUAAUGAAUAAUUGGAAGGUUGAAGCUAGUUUUGUUGCAGAAUGGCAAAUGUUUGGUACUGGUUGAAACUAUGAAAGUGAUACAGGUCCCAUGGUAAUCAUUUAACAGCAGGUUUUUAACAGCAGUUAUGCAGAAAAAUGAAGGAUGGCUGUCAAUGGUAAAUGCAGCAUCAGAAUAUUCCCCAGGAAAGUUUACCCAGAGAGUUUGGGAAAGUAUGAAUAAGAAAUUAGAGAGGAAAACACUUACAGAUAACCAGAAAACAAAGAUUUUAAAAAAAAAAGAAUUGCAACUAAUAGUAAUGUGAUAUAUCUGACUGGGAGCAACAUGUACUAUUCAAUAUAGAAGGAUUGACAAUUUUGACUGAGAACAAAGUGAACUUUAAUAAUGCUAUGACUAUCAAUCAAUACUUGACUGAAUCAGAGGAGUAAACUAUUUACAUAUUUGUAAAUAUAACAAUUAUAUGUUUGCUUGAUUAUUGAGGCAUUCAAAAUAAAGAAAGUUGAAAAACCUUUGAAAAAGUUAUAAUUUCAUAAUUUUUUGGUUAUGUUACUAUGACAACUGAAAUAUAUAAUGUAUUAUCAUUAUGCUUCAUCAACUUAAAUCAUUUAUUGUGGAAAAGGUGACAAAGUCUUUUUAUCCAUUUACUUGCAUGACUGUUAUCUCAAUAAAUUAAAAAAAAUAAUAUUUGGUGAUUUUUGCUAACUUCUGACUAAUUUAUUUUGCUCAUUUAAUACCACAGUAAUGCUAAUGUAAGCUGCAUUAUAAUGUAUCAUAGUAUUUGUUCACAUUUUCAUAGAAGCCAUGUGUUGUUGCUCUAAAAUCAUGGGAUUUGAUCUUCUAUUGUCUGUUUGGUUGUAACUCUUGCACAUCAGAACAAUGCACAAACUUGAAUUUUCCAACUUCGUGUCCUGUUGCCAUGGUAACCGUUGUUCAUAGAAACAAAAUAAAUGUUCUCAUUUCAUUGCCUUGUGAAACUAUUAUUCUGUGAAAGUUUAACAAAGGAUAUGACAACAUAUGUCACACUUUGGUGAAGUUUGGUCACCGAUGAUGAAUGAUAUACAAAAAACUGCUGUUGAUCACUGUUUCGUUAGGGGUCACAAAAACGUUUUUGGGGCAAAAAAUAGUCUGGUGACCCAUAUUUUUUUUGAUUUUUUUUCAAAGCUCAUUGU